AAUCCAAGCUACCUGGUCUACACAGUUGACUUGUGACUUCAGGACUUACUGGACUUACUGAAAAAGCAAAAGGCCUGGGGAGAAGUGGAAAACAUGAACUUGGAUCCAGCCAUAAAGCCUCUCAUUGAUAGCCUGGUAUUCUGUAUGUAUAUAGGCUUCAAGCCACCAAUGAUGAAGAACCUGCCCAUUGCCCAUAUGAGAUGUGGUCUGAAAGUUAGCCAGAGGCUUGUGUUUCAUACAUCCUACAGAAGACAUAUAAGGCCUCUGGGCAUUUCCAUAGCACCUCCUAAGGGAGUAGAAUUAUGAUGUAUAUCUUUAAGCUUUGGCAAGACAAAGAAUUCUCACAAUACCAAUAAAACAAGAACCAGUGCUCUCUGUUACCAUUUUA
Long non-coding RNA from Callorhinus ursinus (northern fur seal), 388 nucleotides. RefSeq lists it as uncharacterized. The record is from RefSeq and is a predicted model, not a curated record. Lineage: Eukaryota; Metazoa; Chordata; Mammalia; Carnivora; Otariidae.